GAUGAACGCUGGCGGCGUGCCUAAUACAUGCAAGUCGAGCGAACAGAUGAGGAGCUUGCUCCUCUGACGUUAGCGGCGGACGGGUGAGUAACACGUGGAUAACCUACCUAUAAGACUGGGAUAACUACGGGAAACCGGAUCUAAUACCGGAUAAUAUAUUGAACCGCAUGGUUCAAUAGUGAAAGACGGUUUUGCUGUCACUUAUAGAUGGUUCCGCGUCGGAUUAGCUAGUUGGUAAGGUAACGGCUUACCAAGGCAACGAUGCGUAGCCGAACUGAGAGGGUGAUCGGCCACACUGGAACUGAGACACGGUCCAGACUCCUACGGGAGGCAGCAGUAGGGAAUGUUCCGCAAUGGGCGAAAGCCUGACGGAGCAACGCCGCGUGAGUGAUGAAGGUCUUCGGAUCGUAAAGCUCUGUUAUUAGGGAAGAACAAAUGUGUAAGUAAAUAUGCACGUCUUGACGGUACCUAAACAAAAAGCCACGGCUAACUACGUG
RNAcentral lists this ribosomal RNA (497 nucleotides) under uncultured bacterium. RNAcentral describes it as "partial 16S ribosomal RNA". It matches the Rfam family "Bacterial small subunit ribosomal RNA", at positions 28 to 507 of the family's 1533-position model. The record is from RNAcentral.